RNAcentral lists this transfer RNA (82 nucleotides) under Scedosporium apiospermum. It matches the Rfam family "tRNA". Rfam says of the family: Transfer RNA (tRNA) molecules are approximately 80 nucleotides in length. The record is from Rfam by way of RNAcentral. Lineage: Eukaryota; Fungi; Ascomycota; Sordariomycetes; Microascales; Microascaceae.
ACGGAUAUGCUGGAAUUGGUAGACAGGUUCUGUUUAGGUCAGAAUAGUGAAAACUGUGUAGGUUCAAGUCUUACUAUCCGUA